This 120-nucleotide ribosomal RNA is filed under the name Candidatus Bathyarchaeota archaeon. Lineage: Archaea; Thermoproteati; Candidatus Bathyarchaeota. The record is from RNAcentral.
UAUGCCGGCCAUAGGGCUCGGGAUCCACCUGAACCCAUUCCGAACUCAGAAGUUAAACCGUGCUCCGUUUCCAGCGUUAGUGUGGUCUUCGGCCAUGCGAAUCUGGAGAAGCUGGCAACC